This 353-nucleotide small RNA is filed under the name Drosophila ananassae. RNAcentral's name for it is "GF27368". Lineage: Eukaryota; Metazoa; Arthropoda; Insecta; Diptera; Drosophilidae. The record is from RNAcentral.
ACAAGGGCUCUGUAACUCGAACUAUUAAUAUGAAGUGGCUGUCAGUUAUUUGCAUUUUGGGAUCCCUUUUGGCUUUUGCCAGUGCUUCUCCAUUAGCCCCUGGAAAUGUUAUAAUAAAAGGAGACUGCAACAAUUGUAAUGUACAUGGAGGAUAAAAUUUAAUAUUUCUCGUCCAUCUAUCUUUUUAUUAAAAAUGUUGAUAAAACUAUAAUCAUAUUGAUAUAAUUCAUUUAUUUGUUUUUUAUUUAAAAGAUAAUUUUCACUGAAAACCAAUAAAAGGUUUCAGAAAAAAAACCCCACACUCUUAGUCCCAAAAAAUAUACUCCAUUAAUUUAGGUAACAAAAUAUAAAGA